Molecule: ribosomal RNA, 406 nt
Filed under: uncultured bacterium
Lineage: Bacteria
Description: partial 16S ribosomal RNA
Rfam family: Bacterial small subunit ribosomal RNA
Source: RNAcentral
AUUGAACGCUGGCGGCAGGCCUAACACAUGCAAGUCGAACGAGUGGCGGACGGGUGAGUAAUGUCUGGGAAACUGCCUGAUGGAGGGGGAUAACUACUGGAAACGGUAGCUAAUACCGCAUACCAUCGGAUGUGCCCCGAUGGGAUUAGCUAGUAGGGGGGGUAAAGGCUCACCUAGGCGACGAUCCCUAGCUGGUCUGAGAGGAUGGUCAGUCACACUGGAACUGAGACACUGUCCAGACUCCUACGGGAGGCAGCAGUGGGGAAUAUUGGGCAAUGGGCGAAAGCCUGGUACAGUCAUGCCGCGUGUGUGAAGAAGGUCUUCGGAGUGUAAAGCACUUUAAGUUGGGAGGCGUUACCAGCAGAAUAAGCACCGGCUAACUUCGUGCCAGCAGCCGCGGUAAUUC